RNAcentral lists this long non-coding RNA (594 nucleotides) under Chinchilla lanigera (long-tailed chinchilla). RNAcentral's name for it is "lncRNA (ENSCLAG00000025360.1)". The record is from RNAcentral. Lineage: Eukaryota; Metazoa; Chordata; Mammalia; Rodentia; Chinchillidae.
CUCCAGGAAGUCACUGGAAGAUCUGCUUCAGUCAAACAAGAGAAUGAAUCAAGAAAGCAGAUGAACCAAGAUGUGGCAAUGAGGGGUUAUCACAAAGCUGCCUCAGCCUGCAAAACACCCAGAAGAGCAGUGGGAUGGAGGACUCACAAGAGAAGGUCUCCAAGAUGCAAAAUGUAAACAUACUGAGGAAACAUUUUUUUCCUACUGCGGAACUCCACCACUGUAAGGUAGAACUGAUUACAAUGAAAACAUCUGAGAGCUACAUAAGGAGCUUGGAUCCAGAGGACAACGAGUUUUUGAGACAGUUUGUUAACCUGUGAUGAUGUGGUAAUCAUUUACAGGGUACUAUUAGUGCUCAGAAUAAACACUUUGGGUCCUCCACAUUAUAGAAGUAAGUUGGUCUCUCAGCAAAGAGAAAUACUCACUGAAAAGUCUAACACUGGGGUCCUGAAAAUGUAGUGUGAACCAUUCCUUUGGCAACAUCCCGGGCGUCUUCCCAUAUACAAUACCCCGACAGUUACUUGCAUGGGUUUAUGUUCUGAAACACAGUACCAAGAAAGGGAUGAACCUGCCUGGACUUAGAGCCAAUUACUA